AAGUCGAACGGCAGCAUGAUCUAGCUUGCUAGAUUGAUGGCGAGUGGCGAACGGGUGAGUAAUACAUCGGAACGUGCCCUGUAGUGGGGGAUAACUAGUCGAAAGAUUAGCUAAUACCGCAUACGACCUGAGGGUGAAAGUGGGGGACCGCAAGGCCUCAUGCUAUAGGAGCGGCCGAUGUCUGAUUAGCUAGUUGGUGAGGUAAAGGCUCACCAAGGCGACGAUCAGUAGCUGGUCUGAGAGGACGAUCAGCCACACUGGGACUGAGACACGGCCCAGACUCCUACGGGAGGCAGCAGUGGGGAAUUUUGGACAAUGGGGGCAACCCUGAUCCAGCAAUGCCGCGUGUGUGAAGAAGGCCUUCGGGUUGUAAAGCACUUUUGUCCGGAAAGAAAUCGCACUUACUAAUAUUAGGUGUGGAUGACGGUACCGGAAGAAUAAGGACCGGCUAACUACGUGCCAGCAGCCGCGG
Molecule: ribosomal RNA, 472 nt
Filed under: Ralstonia insidiosa
Lineage: Bacteria; Pseudomonadati; Pseudomonadota; Betaproteobacteria; Burkholderiales; Burkholderiaceae
Description: bacterial SSU rRNA
Rfam family: Bacterial small subunit ribosomal RNA
Source: RNAcentral